UUAGGGUGCCUGUCUAAGUUCCUUGGAACAGGACGUCGCAGAGGGUGAGAAUCCCGUGUGAUGGGUGGCCCGAGCUUUUAAGGCGUUUUCGAAGAGUCGAGUUGUUUGGGAAUGCAGCUCUAAGUGGGUGGUAAAUUCCAUCUAAAGCUAAAUAUUGGCGAGAGACCGAUAGCGAACAAGUACAGUGAUGGAAAGAUGAAAAGAACUUUGAAAAGAGAGUGAAACAGUACGUGAAAUUGUUGAAAGGGAAGGGUAUUUGAUCCGACAUGGGAUUUACUCAUCAUUGCUCCUUGUGGGUGGUGCUCUGGGUUUUUUCUGGGCCAGAAUCAGUUUGUGUGGCAGGAUAAAGGCGUGAGGAAGUAGCUCUUCUGGAGCAAUAUAACUCAUGUUAAUACUGCCUAUGCGGACUGAGGAAUGCGGUUUUUACCAAGGAUUCUGGCAUAACGAUUAAAUACCGCCCGUCUUGAAACAUGGACCAAGGAGUCUAACGUCUAUGCGAGUGUUUGGGUGUAAAACCCCAGCGCGUAAUGAAAGUGAACGUAGGUCAGACCUGUUAAAGGGGCAUGAUCGCCCGAUCCU
RNAcentral lists this ribosomal RNA (579 nucleotides) under Kregervanrija fluxuum. RNAcentral's name for it is "eukaryotic LSU rRNA". It matches the Rfam family "Eukaryotic large subunit ribosomal RNA", at positions 168 to 772 of the family's 3401-position model. The record is from RNAcentral. Lineage: Eukaryota; Fungi; Ascomycota; Pichiomycetes; Pichiales; Pichiaceae.